Molecule: non-coding RNA, 89 nt
Organism: Xylaria cubensis
Lineage: Eukaryota; Fungi; Ascomycota; Sordariomycetes; Xylariales; Xylariaceae
Source: the annotation of a GenBank genome assembly
GCUGUAGUGGUGUAAGGGUUAUCAUCUAGGCUUCCCAUUGUCUUUACACACGCCUGCCUAGGAACCGAGUUCGAGUCUCGGCUACAGCA